Oncorhynchus masou masou (cherry salmon) is the source of this 1790-nucleotide long non-coding RNA. RefSeq lists it as uncharacterized. Lineage: Eukaryota; Metazoa; Chordata; Actinopteri; Salmoniformes; Salmonidae. The transcript has 4 exons. The record is from RefSeq and is a predicted model, not a curated record.
UAAAUGUUGGGCUUUGAUACAUUUUCAAUUUUCCAAUCUCACAUUUAUGGCAUGCAUAAACCAAUAGGGGCUGCCGCUCUCUCCGGAACGCGUCUGAAUAUGAAUUAGCAGUCGGACGGACGGUGGAUUCAAAGAGCCUUGAAUGAUCAGAAAUGGACGUGUGCCUGGACAGUUAUAGAUAGAUCGUCUUUUCACUCUCAGGGACAAGUGAAAGGGACCAGGGGCGUGUCACUGACACAACAAACAAGACCAGUGGAGGCCUACAUCAAAUGUUAUGGACAAUAAACUGAUUCUUAAGAUGGUCAGAUACGUGAAAAGCUGGUUGUCUCUAAGUGAAGGGGAUGCAGUCCAAAUGGGGGUCACUUCAACAGACAUUGAUAGGACGGUACCUAUUCCCACAAUGUGCCACUGCAACAGCUACGGUGCCAAUAUCAACACACGACUCUCUGGUUAUUAUGAAGACCAUGGAUUAGAAAAACUCCUUGGGUGAACGAAAAAGAGAAGAUGUCCCACCUGCUCCAGCCGAAGAUAGGAGGGGCGCACCAGAAAGCAGACCAGACCCAGGAGAAGAUUAUACCUCCCAUGGCCCAUUUAGCAUCAAACUUGACAUUUCCAAAGGGCUUACACACCACCACCCAUCUCUCCCAGGAGAUGACAGCCAGAGACCACAGACCAGCAAUACCUGCAUGAGAUAUACACAUGAGAUAUACACAUGAGAUAUACACAUGAGAUAUACACAUGAGAUAUACACAUGAGAUAUACACAUGAGAUAUACACAUGAGAUAUACACAAAAGGUCCAUUCUGAUUGUCAUUAUGCUAUGGUGUUUUAGCAACAGCCAAUCAGUCUUUAUCAGCGCAAUGUAGAAUUUCCUCCUUAACCCUUGUGUCGUGUUCGGGUCUGUGGGACCCAUUUUCAGUGUUUACUAAAAGAAAAAUGGUACAACUUCUUUUUUUGUCCAACCUGAGACUCAUUGGCCUUGGCUCAUUUUCUGUGAAGAACUUAUAAAAUAACACAUUUUUAUUUUACAUUUACAUUGUUUCUUACUUCAAGGUCUCAGAGCGAGUGACGUCACCGAUUGAAACGCUAUUUAGCGCGAACACCGCUAACUAGCUAGCCGUUUCACAUCCGUUACACUCACCCCACUUUUGACCUCCACCUUUUCCGCAGCAACCAGUGAUCCGGGUCAACAGCAUCAAUGUAACAGUAUAACUUUAGACUUUAGACACGGGCGCGAUCCAGGGACCCUCUGCACACAUCAACAACAGUCACCCUCGAAGCAUCGUUACCCAUCGCUCCACAAAAGCCACGGCCCUUGCAGAGCAAAGGGAACUACUACUUCAAGGUCUCAGAGCAAGUGACGUCACCGAUUGAAACGCUAUUUAGCGCGAACACCGCUAACUAAGCUUGCCGUUUCACAUCCGUUACAUAUGUCUGUGUGUGUCUGACUCUCCUCCCUUGGCCUGCUGUAACUAUAUAUGUGAGUGAGAUGUUAGUAAAAUUCCUGAACUAAGUGUUUUCAUCAUUCUAGAUUGUAGCCGGUAGCAACAAGAAGAAGCUCUGCGAUGUGUGUGGACACAAGGCGGACAGGAAGACACAGUACACAUGCAAGAAAUGCAAGACAUACAUUUGCAACACACACAGUAACACACAUAGUAAAACUCCCUCGUGGUGUGCAGACCGGCCUUAAUUUGUUCUUCAAUGGGGCUCAUUCAUCAUUUCCAUAAAAUGCUGUAUGUAAAAUGUGUCCUUCCAAUUUGUUCAGUUCAAAGCAAUAAACAUCACUAGUGA